UGACAUCUCUGUAUGUCAUGGCCUUGGC
Molecule: small RNA, 28 nt
Filed under: Bombyx mori (domestic silkworm)
Lineage: Eukaryota; Metazoa; Arthropoda; Insecta; Lepidoptera; Bombycidae
Description: ovarian small RNA-31452
Source: RNAcentral